Molecule: long non-coding RNA, 227 nt
Organism: Drosophila gunungcola (fruit fly)
Lineage: Eukaryota; Metazoa; Arthropoda; Insecta; Diptera; Drosophilidae
Exons: 3
Source: RefSeq, a predicted model, not a curated record
CCGCGCUGUCGUGAAGAAUAUCACUUUAAGUUUUACGGUUACACGGACUUCAAUUAAAAUAAAAAAAGUGUUUUUUCUGUAAAAGUGGAUUAGGGUUGUGAUGAAAAGGUUGGAACCUUAUGAUGACCUAAGUCGAAACUGAGUUAAUUUUGGGGCGCUCCAGUUUUAUAAGCGGCGGACAUCCAUGAUUCUAUUCCAAGAAUCGGCACAAAGGCGGAGUUUCGGUC